AUUGAACGCUGGCGGCAGGCCUAACACAUGCAAGUCGAGCGCUCACUUCGGUGGGAGCGGCGGACGGGUUAGUAACGCGUGGGAAUAUGCCCGGUACUAAGGAAUAGCCUUUGGAAACGAAGAGUAAUACCUUAUACGCCCUUCGGGGGAAAGAUUUAUCGGUAUCGGAUUAGCCCGCGUAAGAUUAGAUAGUUGGUGGGGUAAUGGCCUACCAAGUCUACGAUCUUUAGCUGGUUUUAGAGGAUGAUCAGCAACACUGGGACUGAGACACGGCCCAGACUCCUACGGGAGGCAGCAGUGGGGAAUCUUAGACAAUGGGCGCAAGCCUGAUCUAGCCAUGCCGCGUGAGUGAAGAAGGCCUUAGGGUCGUAAAACUCUUUCGCCAGAGAUGAUAAUGACAGUAUCUGGUAAAGAAACCCCGGCUAACUCCGUGCCAGCAGCCGCGGUAAUACGGAGGGGGUUAGCGUUGUUCGGAAUUACUGGGCGUAAAGCGCACGUAGGCGGACUGGAAAGUUGGGGGUGAAAUCCCGGGGCUCAACCUCGGAACUGCCUCCAAAACUAUCAGUCUAGAGUUCGAGAGAGGUGAGUGGAAUUCCAAGUGUAGAGGUGAAAUUCGUAGAUAUUUGGAGGAACACCAGUGGCGAAGGCGGCUCACUGGCUCGAUACUGACGCUGAGGUGCGAAAGUGUGGGGAGCAAACAGGAUUAGAUACCCUGGUAGUCCACACCGUAAACGAUGAAUGCCAGUCGUCGGCAAGUAUACUUGUCGGUGACACACCUAACGGAUUAAGCAUUCCGCCUGGGGAGUACGGUCGCAAGAUUA
RNAcentral lists this ribosomal RNA (821 nucleotides) under uncultured marine bacterium. RNAcentral describes it as "bacterial SSU rRNA". It matches the Rfam family "Bacterial small subunit ribosomal RNA", at positions 28 to 896 of the family's 1533-position model. The record is from RNAcentral.